GUGACGUGGAAGAUGAACACGGCAUGGAUGUGCACGGUUGAAUUCGGAAUGGGAUACUCGGGAGGAGAUGAGAAGAUAAGGAUGAUAGUUUUGAAGCAGGGGAGAAUGCAUUUGGACGUUGGGAUGCUUGACGGGCGAGAUGAAGACCGGAUCAACAUGACGUGAGGCUGGAUAUGGCACGGGAUGCGGAAGAAGCUAGGAUCCGGUUCUAAUCCGUGAAGCUUGGGAAUCUAGUUGGGAUAAAGAUUGGUUGGUUUGGGAGGAAGUUUGGAUUCAGCUGGGUCUUGGUUCCGAACGGGAGAAAGAAGAGGAUCCGCUUGGUGGUUCUCACGCGGAACAGGGGAAGUUUGGAUUUAGUUCGUGGGUCACGGGAACUGGGAAGGACGUGAUUCGUGGGAGUGAAGAAGAAGCUUGGACACGUGGAAGGAAAGGCUUUGGCUGAUUUGUGAAACU
This 453-nucleotide long non-coding RNA is filed under the name Phoenix dactylifera (date palm). RNAcentral's name for it is "long non-coding RNA (PDAC_LNC014361)". Lineage: Eukaryota; Viridiplantae; Streptophyta; Magnoliopsida; Arecales; Arecaceae. The record is from RNAcentral.